AUGGCGCCGAGCAUGGCGGCCGUGUUGGGAGCUCCGAGUAAACUUUGCAGUUUUUCGUCUGUUUUACUUGUUUUUUUGUUGUUCUACGUGUUGGAUGUUGUUUGUAUAACUGUCUACGAUAGACACACGCUUCUGAACAUUGGUUCCUACGUCACGGAACGCAAACCGGACUUUGAGUUCUUGAACGCCGGCGCUUUGUUUACAGACACCGCAUCAGAGCCCUUUGUCUGGGCUGCGCGGGCGCGACCGAGGAAACGCCGCCGGAAAAGAGGAAAGAGAGCCGGCGUCCUCGUCAGACUCAGACGUCGUCCCCUCCGACCUCCUCUCCCAUCCAUUUUGCUGGCUAACGUUCAGUCACUGGACAACAAACUUUGCGAACUGCGGGCACGUAUCUCAUACCAACGAGAAACAAGGGACUGCUGCAUUAUUUGCCUCACAGAAACCUGGAUGUCUGCAGUGGUUCCAGACUCAGCCAUCGAGCUUACGGGGUUCUCCGUGCACCGCUCGGACAGAACGAAAGAGCUCACAGGGAAAAGCAGAGGUGGGGGCGUUUGUUUCUUUAUCAACAACUCGUGGUGUGAUGAAAGGAACCUACACUCUAUUAAAUCCUUCUGCUCCCCUGAUCUGGAAUUUCAUAUGCUUCUGUGUCGACCAUUCUGGCUACCGAGGGAAUUCACAGCGGUCAUAAUCACCGCUGUUUACAUUCCCCCUCAAGCCAACACAGACCAGGCACUCAAGGAACUGUAUGGGAAUAUAAGUGAGCAGGAAACCGCGUACCCAGAUGCAGCGUUUAUUGUUAUGGGGGACUUUAACAAAGCCAACUUCAGAACAAUAGCUCCGAAAUAUUUUCAACACAUCACCAUCAACACGCGUGGUGAUCGUGUACUGGACCACUGCUACUCUCCUUUCCGGGACGCCUACAAAUCUCUCCCACGCCCACCUUUCGGCAAAUCGGAUCACUCUUCCAUUCUGCUGCUGCCUGCUUAUAGGCAGAAACUGAAACGGGAAGCACCCGCCCUCAGGACAAUUCAGUGCUGGUCGGACCAAUCAGACGCUAUACUACAAGACUGUUUUGAUCACGUGGACUGGGACAUGUUCCGGGCAGCGUCUGAUGACGACAUAGAGGCGUACUCAGAAACUGUAACGUGUUUCAUCAGGAAGUGUGUAGAAGAUGUAGUGCCGACAAAAACAAUCCACAUCUACCCCAACCAAAAACCGUGGAUUAAUAGCGAUGUUCGAGCAGCCUUGUCAGCGCGGACAUCCGCUUUUAAAUCCGGAAACGCUGAUGAUCGCAAACAAGCCAGUUACGAUCUCAGGAAAUCCAUCAAAGCCGCAAAAAGACAAUACAAAAACAAAGUUGAAGAACAAUUCAACACCAGCGAUGCAAGAGGCAUGUGGCAGGGAAUCAAUAAAAUCACAGACUUUAAAGGGAACAAACCAGCUACUGUGAACAUUGCCGCCUCUCUACCGGACGAGCUGAAUAACUUUUAUGCUCGUUUCGAGGCUCACAACACCGCCCACACAGAGAGCGCUCCCGCAGCUGCUGCAGAAGAGGUGAGUGCACUCUCCGUCUCUGUCGCGGAUGUAACCCGAUCCUUCCGACGGGUGAAUAUCCGCAAGGCAGCGGGUCCUGAUGGCAUCCCAGGCCGUGUGCUCCGAGCAUGCGCAUUCCAGCUAGCCGGUGUUUUUACAGACAUUUUCAACCUCUCCCUCUCUCUCUCUGUGGUUCCCUCGUGCUUCAAAAAAUCCACCAUUGUGCCCAUACCAAAGAAAAAUAAAAUCACAUGCUUGAAUGACUGGAGGCCUGUUGCUCUCACACCCAUCUUCAGUAAGUGUUUUGAGAGACUCGUCAGAGACAAAGCACAUAGUGACUACAAGUGA
Molecule: long non-coding RNA, 1881 nt
Organism: Cyprinus carpio (common carp)
Lineage: Eukaryota; Metazoa; Chordata; Actinopteri; Cypriniformes; Cyprinidae
Source: Ensembl